This 388-nucleotide unclassified non-coding RNA is filed under the name Hevea brasiliensis (rubber tree). Lineage: Eukaryota; Viridiplantae; Streptophyta; Magnoliopsida; Malpighiales; Euphorbiaceae. The record is from RNAcentral.
ACCACCAAAUCAAGUUCCUGAUCCCUACGAAUCAAAGCUUUGGGAGGUACUGAUUGUGCUCGUAUAGGAUCCAUUAUUGUUGAUAGCAUUUAGUAGGGUUUUCAAAAUAGGUUGCUGGAAAAUUCUUGUAGCAGAGUCUUUACUUUUUGCCUAGGUCAUGAUUUUAUGUACUUCAAUUAUACAUAGUCUCAUAGUCUUCAGGCAAUUUCAGUACAUAGCUUUUUAGCCUUUCGUUGCUCGCUAGUGUUCCGGGGGAAGCAGGUUUUCCAGUUCAUUGUAACUGAAGGGCUCUUGCCUGUGAAGGGGGUGCAUGAAAUUUUGCUAUGCUCAUCGAUCAUUGUACAGAUUUUUAUCCAUGUUUACCCCCCCUUCUUUUAGCUCUCUAUUG